RNAcentral lists this unclassified non-coding RNA (164 nucleotides) under uncultured Ascomycota. RNAcentral's name for it is "sequence contains ITS1". Lineage: Eukaryota; Fungi; Ascomycota. The record is from RNAcentral.
CUGAGUGUAAAAACUCCCAAACCCAUUGUGAACAUACCUCUGUUGCUUCGGCGGAUGCGCCCCGGGCGCGCCCUCACAGGCGUGCCCCGGACCAAGGCGCCCGCCGGGGAACCGAAACUCUUGUUUUCUUAGAGAAUCUCUGAGUGUGAUUAUAAAUCAAAUCA